Molecule: long non-coding RNA, 519 nt
Filed under: Hordeum vulgare
Lineage: Eukaryota; Viridiplantae; Streptophyta; Magnoliopsida; Poales; Poaceae
Description: long non-coding RNA (HVUL_LNC004151)
Source: RNAcentral
AAGAAAAUAAAAGAUGCCCUCCAAGAGGGAGAGGAGGGCAGGGGUGUUAUAUUAUCCAUCUCGGGCACAAAAAAUAUCAAUGGAGUAUCAUCUUCAUGUUAGUAAUGAAACUAAUACAAUACAGAGUUCCAGGAUAUGCUCAACAAAGUGCUUCUGCUGUUUUUACACGUAAAGAUUACUUUCUCGUCUAUGAUGGAAUCAUCAUCUACCUCGCUUAAUGCCUGACCUAUACUUAGAAUAUCAGUUAUGGCUCAUCAGCCUUGGCAAAGACCAGGCCUUCUUGGCGCUAUCAACUUGAAACAGGAACAUGGAGCGCCACAAGAAUUUAUCCAAGAGGAUCAAUCACCAGAGGGGGGAUCAAGCAUUUCAGCCUGGCCUGAGGCAGCACCAAGAAAACAAGAGCUCAAGAGAAGACGACCCCGACUUUCCGGGCAAAAUCAUCGUCGUCCUCAAACUCUUCCUCGUCGUCUUGAUAUGCAUUCUCAUCUUCGGUCCCCUCAUACUCAGACUCCCCCNNNN